Long non-coding RNA from Setaria italica (foxtail millet), 775 nucleotides. RefSeq lists it as uncharacterized. The transcript is spliced from 3 exons. NCBI's taxonomy places the organism in Eukaryota, Viridiplantae, Streptophyta, Magnoliopsida, Poales, Poaceae. The record is from RefSeq and is a predicted model, not a curated record.
UCGAAAAAAGAACCGAACCCUUCUCCUAUUCAGCCACCACUCCCUAAUUCCCAUCGUCGCUGCCCCAUCCUUUUCUCCAGCUUCCUGCCGCCGCCGUUGAUCCCGCUUCCUGCUGCCGCCGUUGAAGCUUGCGUCGUGUGGCUGCCUACUGCUGCCGCCUGGUCCAUCUCUUUGAGGCUGCUGCUUUCCUACAUCUGGGAGGGACCAAACUAGCGUGGGGAGGGGGGAAUCAGGCAAGAGAAAGGUGCAGAUGCAGGGGAUAGAGAAGGGAGGAAAAGUAUUAUUCCUCCAUCGAUUCUUGAUUCUUGUUGCUAAGGUUUGGAGAGUUCUAGAGCUGAGCGAGAGGCGUCGGUUCCCAUCAAGGUUAGGGCAAGUGCAUGAUGAACCUGUGUGUUGAUAAACUUGCUCUUUGGAUGUUUUCUUGUGCCUUUCAAGUAUGUUGUCCCAAGUUCAUGUUCAUGCUAUUCAAGUUGUAUUAUUUGAUUCCUGAUCCAUGAUUCAAGUUUCAAGUUACUUCUUUAUAUUUUUUAUUAUGUUUUGCUUCUGAUUUGGUGGUACUUGCUGAGUAUUUUUACUCAGCUUUGUGUUUAUUUAGUUUUUAGGUACCAAAUGACCGCGAGCAUGCGUGGGAAGUGGGAGUAGCAUUCAUCCAAAGCACACACGUUUAAUUAUACUUAUUUUUAGUUAAAUCCAUUCAUUCAGUAAAACUGUAAUUAGUUAAGUUGGUUCCUUUAUCGUUGGUUGAUGGUGGAACGUCUUGGGGUUGAUCCUAGGG